Molecule: ribosomal RNA, 253 nt
Filed under: uncultured bacterium
Lineage: Bacteria
Description: partial 16S ribosomal RNA
Rfam family: Bacterial small subunit ribosomal RNA
Source: RNAcentral
UACGAAGGGAACUAGCGUUGUUCGGAAUCACUGGGCGUAAAGCGCGUGUAGGCGGUCCGGUAAGUCCGCUGUGAAAGUCGGGGGCUCAACCCUCGAAUGCCGGUGGAUACUGUCGGGCUAGAGCGCGGAAGAGGCGAGUGGAAUUCCUGGUGUAGCGGUGAAAUGCGCAGAUAUCAGGAGGAACACCAAUUGCGAAGGCAGCUCGCUGGGACGUAACUGACGCUGAGACGCGAAAGCGUGGGGAGCGAACAGG